AUUGAACGCUGGCGGCAUGCCUUACACAUGCAAGUCGAACGGCAGCGGGCCUUCGGGUGCCGGCGAGUGGCGAACGGGUGAGUAAUGCAUCGGAACGUGCCAUUGAGUGGGGGGAUAACGUCGCGAAAGUUGCGCUAAUACCGCAUAUUCUGUGAGCAGGAAAGCAGGAGACCGCAAGGCCUUGCGCUCUUUGAGCGGCCGAUGUCAGAUUAGCUAGUUGGUGAGGUAAAGGCUUACCAAGGCGACGAUCUGUAGCGGGUCUGAGAGGAUGAUCCGCCACACUGGAACUGAGACACGGUCCAGACUCCUACGGGAGGCAGCAGUGGGGAAUUUUUGGACAAUGGGCGCAAGCCUGAUCCAGCCAUGCCGCGUGAGUGAAGAAGGCCU
This 387-nucleotide ribosomal RNA is filed under the name uncultured bacterium. Its description in RNAcentral is "bacterial SSU rRNA". It matches the Rfam family "Bacterial small subunit ribosomal RNA", at positions 30 to 417 of the family's 1533-position model. The record is from RNAcentral.